UGGGGAAUAUUGGACAAUGGGGGCAACCCUGAUCCAGCCAUGCCGCGUGAGUGAUGAAGGCCUUCGGGUUGUAAAGCUCUUUUGGCGGGGACGAUGAUGACGGUACCCGCAGAAUAGGCCCCGGCUAACUUCGUGCCAGCAGCCGCGGUAAGACGAAGGGGGCUAGCGUUGUUCGGAAUUACUGGGCGUAAAGCGAGUGUAGGCGGUUGCCGUAGUCAGGUGUGAAAGCCUUGAGCUCAACUCAAGAAAUGCACUUGAUACUGGGUGACUAGAGGACCGGAGAGGAUAGUGGAAUUCCCAGUGUAGUGGUGAAAUACGUAGAGAUUGGGAAGAACACCAGUGGCGAAGGCGGCUAUCUGGACGGUUACUGACGCUAAGACUCGAAAGCGUGGGGAGCAAACAGGAUUAGAUACCCUGGUAGUCCACGCCGUAAACGAUGGGUGCUAGACGUUGGCGAGCUUGCUCGUCAGUGUCGCAGCUAACGCGUUAAGCACCCCGCCUGGGGAGUACGGCCGCAAGGUUGAAACUUAAAUGAAUUGAC
This 541-nucleotide ribosomal RNA is filed under the name uncultured bacterium. RNAcentral's name for it is "partial 16S ribosomal RNA". It matches the Rfam family "Bacterial small subunit ribosomal RNA", at positions 355 to 914 of the family's 1533-position model. The record is from RNAcentral.